ACCUUUUCCCCAAAAUAGUAUAUGUGUGAUUCAUUUCUAUUUUUGUUCAUACUUGUAGGUUUUUUUUUUUUUUAAAGAAAGCUCUAGGCCCAACGUGGAGCUUGAACCCGUGACCCCAAGAUCAAAAGUUGCUUGCUCUUCCCACUGAGCCAGCCAGGCACCCCGAUAUACUUGUACUUAUUAAUGAAGAGACACUCUACAAUGGAGAAAACUGACAGACUCUACAAUGGAGAAAACUGACAGACACCAGACAGGGUUGUGGAGCUCAAAGGCCAAGAAAGAAUUCUUGAGACAUUGUACAGUGUAACUUGGGUCCUUGGAGAAAGGAGGAGACUCCGACAAGGAGAUCACAGGUCACACGGGGUCAGUACUUGUUUAUUUCAUUUCUGUUGGCUGAGGAAGCACACACAUUUUUUUUUAAAUAUUUUAUUUAUUUAUUUGAGAGAGACAGAGAUAGUGAGAGAGAAC
RNAcentral lists this long non-coding RNA (468 nucleotides) under Mustela putorius furo (domestic ferret). RNAcentral describes it as "lncRNA (ENSMPUG00000030761.1)". The record is from RNAcentral. Lineage: Eukaryota; Metazoa; Chordata; Mammalia; Carnivora; Mustelidae.